RNAcentral lists this ribosomal RNA (433 nucleotides) under uncultured bacterium. RNAcentral describes it as "partial 16S ribosomal RNA". It matches the Rfam family "Bacterial small subunit ribosomal RNA", at positions 29 to 507 of the family's 1533-position model. The record is from RNAcentral.
AACGAACGCUGGCGGCAUGCCUAACACAUGCAAGUCGAACGAGACCUUCGGGUCUAGUGGCGCACGGGUGCGUAACGCGUGGGAACCUGCCCUUAGGUUCGGAAUAACUCCCCGAAAGGGGUGCUAAUACCGGAUAAUGUCUUCGGACCAAAGAUUUAUCGCCUUUGGAUGGGCCCGCGUUGGAUUAGCUAGUUGGUAGGGUAAAAGCCUACCAAGGCGACGAUCCAUAGCUGGUCUGAGAGGAUGAUCAGCCACACUGGGACUGAGACACGGCCCAGACUCCUACGGGAAGCAGCAGUGGGGAAUAUUGGACAAUGGGCGAAAGCCUGAUCCAGCAAUGCCGCGUGAGUGAUGAAGGCGUUAGGGUUGUAAAGCUCUUUUACCCGGGAUGAUAAUGACAGUACCGGGAGAAUAAGCUCCGGCUAACUCCGUG